Molecule: transfer RNA, 73 nt
Filed under: Chryseobacterium polytrichastri
Lineage: Bacteria; Pseudomonadati; Bacteroidota; Flavobacteriia; Flavobacteriales; Weeksellaceae
Description: tRNA_Lys_TTT
Rfam family: tRNA
About the family: Transfer RNA (tRNA) molecules are approximately 80 nucleotides in length. Their secondary structure includes four short double-helical elements and three loops (D, anti-codon, and T loops).
Source: RNAcentral
ACUCCAUUCGUCUAAUGGUUUAGGACGGCUGCCUUUUGAGUAGUAAGUAAGAGUUUGACUCUCUUAUGGAGUG